GGGUAUAUGGCUUAGUGGUAGAGCACUUGCUUAGCAUGCAUGAGGUCCUGGGUUCAGUCCCCAGCACCUCCA
This 72-nucleotide transfer RNA is filed under the name Camelus bactrianus (Bactrian camel). It matches the Rfam family "tRNA". From Rfam's summary of the family: Transfer RNA (tRNA) molecules are approximately 80 nucleotides in length. Their secondary structure includes four short double-helical elements and three loops (D, anti-codon, and T loops). Further hydrogen bonds mediate the characteristic L-shaped molecular structure. tRNAs have two regions of fundamental functional importance: the anti-codon, which is responsible for specific mRNA codon recognition, and the 3' end, to which the tRNAs corresponding amino acid is attached (by aminoacyl-tRNA synthetases). tRNAs cope with the degeneracy of the genetic code in two manners: having more than one tRNA (with a specific anti-codon) for a particular amino acid; and 'wobble' base-pairing, i.e. permitting non-standard base-pairing at the 3rd anti-codon position. The record is from Rfam by way of RNAcentral. RNAcentral also lists the same sequence under 1 other name. Lineage: Eukaryota; Metazoa; Chordata; Mammalia; Artiodactyla; Camelidae.